RNAcentral lists this small RNA (386 nucleotides) under Pongo abelii (Sumatran orangutan). RNAcentral describes it as "retained intron". The record is from RNAcentral. Lineage: Eukaryota; Metazoa; Chordata; Mammalia; Primates; Hominidae.
CUUUGAUGACCCCAAAGGUGAGCUCAUAGGGAGCCUCAGGAGGGAGGUGGGGAGGAUUCCUAGUACUGACCCUGUUUCCCACCACCCAGUGGCUGAGCAGGUGCUGCAACAAAAGGAGCACACGAUCAACAUGGAGGAGUGCCGGCUGCGGGUGCAGGUCCAGCCCUUGGAGCUGCCCAUGGUCACCACCAUCCAGGUGAUGGUGUCCAGCCAGUUGAGUGGCCAGAGGGUGUUGGUCACUGGAUUUCCUGCUAGCCUCAGGCUGAGUGAGGAGGAGCUGCUGGACAAGCUAGAGAUCUUCUUUGGCAAGACUAGGAACGGAGGUGGCGAUGUGGAUGUUCGGGAGCUGCUGCAAGGGAGUGUCAUGCUGGGGUUUGCUAGGGAUG